This 301-nucleotide ribosomal RNA is filed under the name uncultured bacterium. RNAcentral's name for it is "partial 16S ribosomal RNA". It matches the Rfam family "Bacterial small subunit ribosomal RNA", at positions 509 to 807 of the family's 1533-position model. The record is from RNAcentral.
CAGCAGCCGCGGUAAUACGUAGGGUGCAAGCGUUAAUCGGAAUUACUGGGCGUAAAGCGUGCGCAGGCGGUUAUAUAAGACAGAUGUGAAAUCCCCGGGCUCAACCUGGGAACUGCAUUUGUGACUGUAUAGCUAGAGUACGGCAGAGGGGGAUGGAAUUCCGCGUGUAGCAGUGAAAUGCGUAGAUAUGCGGAGGAACACCGAUGGCGAAGGCAAUCCCCUGGGCCUGUACUGACGCUCAUGCACGAAAGCGUGGGGAGCAAAAAGGAUUAGAUACCCCUGUAGUCCCUGUCUCUUAUAC